Long non-coding RNA from Ipomoea nil (Japanese morning glory), 827 nucleotides. RefSeq lists it as uncharacterized. The transcript is spliced from 3 exons. The record is from RefSeq and is a predicted model, not a curated record. Lineage: Eukaryota; Viridiplantae; Streptophyta; Magnoliopsida; Solanales; Convolvulaceae.
UGGCCCUAUUCGCCUAAACCAAACCAGUAAACCCUCUGUCUCUCAAUCGCUCAAAGACUCGGAACCUUAAAUGCAGGCGCAACCGCAGCCCUCUCUGCCUCCCUCUGUCUCUCAAUCGCAAUCGCGGGCUCGCAGCCCUCUCUCGAAGACUCGAACUGAUGGCUCGUCCUUAAUCGCGAACCGUAAAUCGCAGGUCGCCGCUCACCGCCUCACGCCGGAGUCGAGUCGCCGGUCGCCGGAGUCGCCGGAGUCGCCGUUCGCCGGAGUCCAUAAAUCCAGGUCUCCAGAAUUUCAAUAAUCAAAUAUUCAAGAUAAGUAGAUUGGCAGUAAGCAGUAUGGUUGUAUGGGCGUAUGGCUAUGACUUGUGAAUUUUGAAGACCAUGAAGUUCAUAUUGUUUGUUUAUUUAGUAUGUUUUGUGAAGACUAUGAAGUUCAUGCCCUUAUUUACUAAAAUUAAUAAAAGAAGCUGAGACUCCAAAUGAGACAGAGACGCUUCCCCAUUCAGCCUAAUUCAAUUCUGCGGAUUGAAGCUUCCGCCGACCGCUGACCACGACUGCCAACCACGACCAGCCUUGUCACAGCCGGCAGCCCACUCACCAGCGUUCAACAGCCACCGUAACAGCAGGUCAGGCAGCGUCUGAAAUUAGUGAUAACGCUGUUUUUCCUUUCCUUUUUUUUCCCCCAAAUUAUGUGUGUUUUUGCUUUGCUUUCCUGUUGCUUAUAAAAAAAUGUGGUUGCUAUUGUUAUGAUUUUGAUGUGCUUCACUGGUGAAAGCAGAAGAUAUUGAUGUUUUUUUAUGCCUUUUCAAAUUGCAUUCUUAUCUAACU